UCGGGGGUCGUCCAAUGGUAGGACAGAGGCCUUUGAAGCCUUUAAUCGGGGUUCGAAUCCCUGCCCCCGAACCA
This 74-nucleotide transfer RNA is filed under the name Nitrospiraceae bacterium. RNAcentral's name for it is "tRNA-Gln". It matches the Rfam family "tRNA". From Rfam's summary of the family: Transfer RNA (tRNA) molecules are approximately 80 nucleotides in length. Their secondary structure includes four short double-helical elements and three loops (D, anti-codon, and T loops). Lineage: Bacteria; Pseudomonadati; Nitrospirota; Nitrospiria; Nitrospirales; Nitrospiraceae. The record is from RNAcentral.